This is a long non-coding RNA of Falco peregrinus (peregrine falcon), 3861 nucleotides long. RefSeq lists it as uncharacterized. The record is from RefSeq and is a predicted model, not a curated record. The transcript has 2 exons. NCBI's taxonomy places the organism in Eukaryota, Metazoa, Chordata, Aves, Falconiformes, Falconidae.
GCCGGGGCGCGGGCUGACGGGAGCUGUAGUCGCAGCGGGGCCGGGGCCGGCUGUUGCUGGUCCCAGGGGCAGACGGGGAGUUCAUCGCGUCAGUCGGCGUCGCGUUCGCCUUGAAACCUUUCCGAGUGGGCUACGGACAAGAGGGAGCUCCGGGAUUCUGCGUCCCCGCGUUCGCGCCGCCGUUGUAAAUAGCGCAUCGCUCCCGCGCCGUUCCGUUCGGUUUUCCCCUGCCUUUUCCACACCGAGCUGAGGACAGUCCUGCCUUUCCAGCCCUGCCCUGUAAGCCGUACGCAUUGAAUAAGGCAAAAAGGCCUGAAGUCAGAGGCUGCACCGAGAGAUAAUUCUACUGUCACCAUGGUAUCUAAGCUCAUCAGAGAAACUUCAUGAGGUUGUUGCUAGCUUGGGUAAGUGGUUUAUAUAGUCCAAGGCAACAAGGAGCUAAAUGUUCUCAAAGUUACGUGAAUACCUUCCUCAGGGUCUGGGAGCAGAGGGAGAGGAGCUGAACAACACCAAGUGCUGCACUUUCAGUGUUGGUAAGGGCAAUUGUUGACUAUAGGCAUCUAACCAGAAAUUAAUGCCUUGAUAAACAGUAUCACUAACUUUCUUGCUUGACAAUUGGGUCUUUAUGAUCCUUAUUCAGGCUUCACUGUUAAGAGGAAAAUACUGGUUUUGGCUGUGUGGUGUGUUGUGAGUGAUUUUUUUCCUAAGUCCUGCUUUGGGGCCCUUAGAGGUAUCUGUCUUGUUAUUCUUUCUUCUCUAUCCCAGAAUGAAGAAUAGCUUUUCUUUUUUGUAAUAAUUUCUCCAUUCAGCCUCUGAAAGGAACAAGUUAAUAGCCCUGAAGAUAAUCUGAUUAUUGUAAUGAUGUAGCUGCUAGCAAUUGACAAGAGGUGGAGAAACAUACAGCAGGGGAAAUGAUAGAAAGACAAAGUAUGAGCAAAGUGGAGAUACUCGAUAUGAUAAGUAGAAGUGUUGGCACAUCAGCUGCCUUAUUUAUAUUAAUUCUGUUCAGUGAUUUCCAUUACAGAUGGUUGCUGUUUUUUCUAGUUGCCAGUCCCCAAAAUUCAGAAUUUGUCCUGAAAUUCACACUGAGUUCUUUCUGAACACUGUUGUAUAUAUUCUGCAGGCUGAAUUAUAUGCUUGUUGCAUCUUUUUGGGUUUCCAUUAGAGAACAGAUGUGUUGGAAUAGGUGUAAAUCUACAGAAGUGUAAUGAGGUUACUUGGGCAACGCUGAAGGUGUGUAAAGUUACACAAAAAUGUCUGUGAUAAUAAUGUAAGGCAUAGAGUUUCUAUAAGUGGAUAUAAUACAGGAGAUCGGAGCAGAAGUAUCUUGACAGUCGAUCUGAGCUAAAUUGGAAGAAAUCAUUACCUUAUACUUAUAAACCAAAUGAAUUUGAUAUGGGAACCAGUGAGACUCAGGAAAAAGGGCAUCUCACAGUGCCAUCUCUACUGCAAUGUAAAAUUGCUUCACAGAUUAUACUACCAUUAUGUUAAUUAUCUUCCCAGUACUGUCCACUUCUUUGGAGUUCUCUGGGUACAAGAUAAGAAGCUCCUGUAUACCAAAGAUGCACGCAGAGUUUAGCUUGUGCACUUCUGACAGUCAGUUACUGAAAUACUUUCCCUGGCCUCAUGUUCUGAUAUCUUGUUUGAAGGAAAGCCCUGUCUGAAUAGGUAGCAUAAGAAAGGAUUGGCUUUCUGCUCCAGUCCAUUUUUGUUUUGUUGAAGUUUCCUGUGGAUCAGGGAGAAUUAUCCUCAGGAGCAACAAUCUGAAGGACCUGGACUGAACAAACCCCAUUUCUGCAAUAGGCACCUAUAUUAAUUGGCUGUGGUGUCAAAAUAUUUCACUCCAAGUUACAUGUCUUAUUAAAGUCUCCUCCUGCCUUAUUUGGUUAUGACUGUGCUGCAGAAGGAUAAUGAGAAGCAGUAUCAGCUGUUCACAAUUAAUGGGACAAUUGUUGAGACCCCAUGUUCAAUAACUCCUACCAAGGUGACACCGUAGACAUUGAAGCACUAAAUUAUAUUAUGUGCUUGAAUGAUUAAGGCUGAAGUUUAUGGCUUAUGCUCAUUCAGUUGCUUGAGUGCUUAAGAGUAGAAUAGUGAAAAACCUUUAUCUUAUACGCAGGUUUCUGAGCUGCUUGGCACAUACAACUCUCAUACCUUUCUUCUAGAUAGUGUCAGAUGGUCAAAAUUAAUUUCCCUUGUCAUUCAAGAAUAUUCCUAUGCUAAAUCAGAUGAAACUAAAUCUGUCUGUGAAAUGUAGUGCUGAAAAACACCUGGUCAGCUAACUCUCAGAUAAAAUGAGACCCUAACCAAUGGAGAAGACAAAAUUCUCAGAGUUAAUUGUGUGUGUCCAGCAUGGUAGAACACUAAUCCUUUAGGUCCUUCUGCAAGCCAAAACAACUACUGUUGUAGAUUAACUUCUGUGGAAUUGUAAUGAAGCAUCCUUAGGAGAAUAGUCCACUCCAAAGUUAAUAACCUGUUGAAAGUAUGCAUACAAGAAAAACUGAUUUGAAGAACAGAAAUUCAAAGGUCAAGGCCUACAUUUAUCAUUAUGGUUGGUCUCUACAUAAAGGGUCAUACCACUUCUCUCUAAGUAGACAGCAGUAAACUGUGAUUAUGAUCUCAGGACAGCUUCAUGUCUUGUGCUGUCUCUUUACAAACAACAGUCAAUAUUUGCUUGGAAAUAACACUCAGAAUGUGUCACUCAGGUGCAUUUCUGGGCAUCUACCUAGUAACAAUUUGAUUUUGUUUUUCUUAUGCAUCACUCUGUCUUAAUACACAGUCAUCUUCCGUCUGAAGAAACUAAGAGGUUGCAGUGAGGUCCAGCCCAGGAGGAGCUUGACUCUGACUCAUCCUGAGACAAGGAGGGAAAGGUUUCCUUGCAGCUAUAUUGAGACUAUAACUACGCAAGGACACUAACCUCUGAGAAAGCCCUAAAAAUUAGGUGGCCUUAUUUUUAAUGAAGAUUUGAUUGUGCCUUUUGGGUGGCUUAGUUUGACGCUGUUUUAUACUGGUAGAUGGUAAAUGUGUUUCAAAGUACAAUUUCCCAGAACUUCUCAGAAGUUCUAGUGUCAAUUUUCAGGUAAGAUCCAAACUGCAUUAUAAGGAAGAUUAAUGCCUCCCUGUCACUGGAGGAGUUCAGAACACUUGUUCAGGUUGUAAGAGGCUUGCUAAGUUCCUCCCCACCAGCUUAACGUCUUUCUCCUACCUCUCAUAAAGGUUUGGAGGGAGCAUUGGCAUUGUAUGCUUUCCAUCUCUCAUUAGCACCGCUUCAUUUUGCAAAAAUAAUUAAACUUUCACCAGAGAUGGAACUAGAACCUGCUGGGGAAUGAGGUAGAGAUAAUCCUACCAUUCAAAAGACUAACUUGACCCCCCAGGUAAAGAGUAUUUCUCCUGCAGUUUGUCUCAGUGAUUAAGUCUUUUGGACAAAAGCAUCAACCAAAAUAAUGGAGGGAAGCACAACCCAAGGCCCUCAGCUGCCUAGAGCUCUUGAUCAAAUUAUGUGAGACUCAAAUACUAGUUCACUUUCUGCCUAAAUCACGAAGAGAUGAACUUAAGCGUCUAAUACUUUCGAGAGUUCUUGAAAGCCUGAGCCAUAUGUGAAAGGGGGCACUACUUCCAUCAUCUCUGUCAACCUGAGCAGAUACAACCUUUUUUUCUUUACAGGUAUUCCAAAGAAGGCAAUCUGUAUUCUAAGGAGGGAGUGGUGGUGGGUGGUGUUCUGGUCUCAACAAGAGCAAAAAGAUGUUUUUGUUUUUAUUGAUCAGAGCCACUAUUGAUACUUUUUGGUUUGUUUGCUUGCUCAGAUAAUUCACUGAGUCAUGUAACCCCAGUGCUCUCAAUAAACUGAUUUCUUGUCUGAAA